GCCUAGGGAAGGGUGUAGAGUGGCCUCCCUCGCGUGGCUGCUCAGUAUUGUUUGCGCUCAGCCAGGGUGACCUGACGCCCGCUUUGGAAAACUGCUGAACAGCGGGCGGGCGCAGUGGUUUCUUGCAAGGUCCCAGGCAGAGCGGAAUGCAUACACCAGGAAGCCAGCAGGCCUGUCCGGAGAGGCACGGCUCACAGCCUCCGGACUGGAGAGAGCCCAGUUGCUGGGCUUCCGAGCCUUCCUCCCCUGCCCACGACUAAGGAAUGAGCCCUUCUCUGCGCCUGGCCCUGCUGCACGGAGCCGCAGAGCUGAAAGUGAAAGGUGAGGGCCCCCUUUCCCACGGCCAGAAGAGGGGCGUGGGUGCCGCGGGACUCCCCGGCGGCGGCGGCGGCGGCGGCGGCGGGAGCGCAGUCUGCGAGAGCCCUGGGACCUGGAAGGAGAAGCUGAUGUCGUCUCCGCCUGGCCCUGACCCCUCCAGCGAGUGAGUGACUCCUUCCUCCGGAGCCGACCCUUCACCAGAGAACAGGCUCAGGAUGCCCUGGCCCUGUCUGUGCAGCAGGGACCAUUGCCCUUGGAUACUGCUGACCCCUAGGGACUGCCCAGUGCCUCACAUACACCAUGAACCCGUGCCAGACCCACACCAGGACGGUGCAGACGAAGCACGGAAAAGAAGGCGCUCUAGACCACAGCUCGAGGCUACGUCAGGAGCCAGCAAGCUGCGCUCUGCCUCCAGCCACCCGGCCUGGGCCAGGAGGCCGACUGUUACUGAUGUGGAGACAGACAGGGAUGCUCCUGGCUGCCCAUCAGGGCCUUGGCAGACGAGGGAGCAGAGCCUGGAGAAGCCCAGAGUCCUGGCCAUGGGACACAGGACCCCGAGGGGGCCCUGGAGACCGUUGCUCUCGCUGGGCUGCAGAGAGCUGCAGGUGGGGUCCCUGCUGCAGGUGUCCUGGCAGCUGGGGCGCUUGCUGGGGCCCUGCCCGGCCUGGGGAAUGUUCUCAGAUGGUGUAGCAGUUCCAGGUUUACUCAGAGCUCUCUUCUGAGCUGUCAUGAAAAGUCCCUUUGGCCUGGGGCCCGGGCAGGCUGGGGCGGUGGGGCCUGUGAGCCUUGGGGGGGGGCGAGGGUCCUCCCAGCUCCCUCCCCAACUCAGCGGGGCCUGGAGAAGCAGGGGAGAGAGGGGCAGGGGGCAAGAAGACCCUCGUCUUGGGGCUCUCUUUUCUUCCCUUCACAAUGGCCUCCUGGGUGACCCUAGAAAAUGCCCCUCCCUCCCCAGCACUCAGUUUCCCUGUCUGUCAAAGGGGUGUAGAAUCACCCUAAAUCAGAUCCAUCAUUAGGUGAGGACUCAGUACAUGCUGGUGUUCCAGCCAGUGACAAGACUAUUAUCACCAAAAAUAAAGUAAAACCUAAC
Molecule: long non-coding RNA, 1405 nt
Filed under: Heterocephalus glaber (naked mole-rat)
Lineage: Eukaryota; Metazoa; Chordata; Mammalia; Rodentia; Bathyergidae
Description: lncRNA (ENSHGLG00000031018.2)
Source: RNAcentral